This 589-nucleotide ribosomal RNA is filed under the name uncultured archaeon. RNAcentral's name for it is "bacterial SSU rRNA". It matches the Rfam family "Archaeal small subunit ribosomal RNA", at positions 270 to 859 of the family's 1478-position model. The record is from RNAcentral.
CGGGUUGUGAGAGCAAGGGCCCGGAGAUGGAACCUGAGACAAGGUUCCAGACCCUACGGGGUGCAGCAGGCGCGAAACCUCCGCAAUGUACGAAAGUGCGACGGGGGGAUCCCAAGUGUUAUGCUUUUUUGUAUGACUUUUCAUUAGUGUAAAAAGCUUUUAGAAUAAGAGCUGGGCAAGACCGGUGCCAGCCGCCGCGGUAACACCGGCAGCUCGAGUGGUAGCUGUUUUUAUUGGGCCUAAAGCGUUCGUAGCCGGUUUGAUAAGUCUUUGGUGAAAGCUUGUAGCUUAACUAUAAGAAUUGCUGGAGAUACUAUUAGACUUGAAGUCGGGAGAGGUUAGAGGUACUACCGGGGUAGGGGUGAAAUCCUAUAAUCCUGGGAGGACCACCUGUGGCGAAGGCGUCUAACUGGAACGAUCUUGACGGUGAGUAACGAAAGCCAGGGGCGCGAACCGGAUUAGAUACCCGGGUAGUCCUGGCCGUAAACGAUGUGGACUUGGUGUUGGAAUGGCUUUGAGUUGUUCCGGUGCCGAAGGGAAGCUGUUAAGUCCACCGCCUGGGAAGUACGGUCGCAAGACUGAAACUUAA